CUAGAAACGAGCUUUGGACUGUCAUUGGACGAAACAAACAAGUUGAAGAAUCGGACAUCUCAAGACUUCCAUAUCUGCAAUCAGUGAUCAAAGAAACCUUUAGGUAUCAUCCUCCUGCCCCCUUUUUAGUACCUCACAAGGCAGAAGUUGAUACAGAAAUCAAUGGGUAUACAAUCCCUAAAGAUGCACAAAUACUUGUUAACGUAUGGGCAACUGGUAGAGAUUCAAGUCUUUGGUUAAAUCCAGACUCAUUUGAGCCUGAACGGUUUUUAAACCGUGAAGUAGACUUCAAAGGCCAAGAUUUCGAGCUCAUUCCAUUUGGUUCAGGAAGGAGGAUGUGCCCAGGAUUGCCUUUGGCUGACAGAAUGGUGCAUCUCAUGGUGGCAGCUUUGAUUCACAACUUCGACUGGAAACUGGAAAAAGGAAUGAAACCCGAAGAAGUCGACGUAAGUGAGAAAUUUGGGCUUUCACUACAGAAGGCAGUGCCUCUCACGGCUUUCCCCAUCAAAAUGUCAUAGUGUCUGUAUUUCGUAGCUAAAUGUGUAGUACCUUCAACGACAAAGCCUUGCGUUGUCAUUGAAUAUGUUCUAAAAUGGCUAUCUACCUUUCUGAAUUUUGUACAAUUUGAUAUGAACUUCACAAAUUUUAACCGUUCUAUUUUUUCGAAUUCUACACUUGAGCAUAGAAAAAUGAACAAUUGAUGAGAUUCAAAUUGAAAUUUAUAUAUAAAUCUAACAGAUAACCAUGCGAUAAUUAACAGCACCAGACUCAAUUCAGAAGUUGUCACAAUAAGGUACGUGGGAAAAGUGGGUUUUAUUAAAUUCCAUAGUGGACUGUCGAAAUUCAAUUUUUAACAAGCAUUCCAACUGUUCUCUCAAAUGCAGAUACAGUAGCACAAUCAAGGGCGGACCCAAGGGGGUCCCCUAGUGUCACUUGACCCUCUACUUUUUUCAAUUUUUUUUUUUUUUUUAAUUUUUGUCUUCGUUUUCAGGCUCAAUAUGGAAUAUCAAGCGAAAUUGAAAUAUUAUAUUCUUAAUAUCAUUUUAAAGUACUCACAACCUAAUAUUUCACCUUGUUAAUGUUGUGCGAAAUGGUCAAUCGUAACAAAUGUUACGACACGUCAAAAUAGGCUAUUCUAAACUAGUAUUUCGAAAAUUUAGAUAACAAGCUAACUUUAAAAUUUUUUCGACAAUUAUACGUUAGCCAUAUCCAUAAAUCUUCUAUAUUUUCUCGAAACUCAUUUUGAGAACUAUAUUAUAAAAAUAUCAAAUUAUCUAAAUGAUUAUUGAAAAUAGUUAUACGUACGUCAAAUAUGUAUGCUAAAAAGAGACGUAUAACUCCUCUUUUUUGAAAAAAAAAAAUCAAUUAUUUUAUUAAUGUUUAUUAUUUUUGAGCGACAAAUUUUUCAAUAUAAUUUACAUAAUUUUAUUAGGAAAAUUUAAAUGUGGUAUGACGUCAAAAAUUUUUUUUUUUUGGAAAUAAAAAUUUUUAAUAAAAUUUUUAUUAUUUCCAAAGGGUUUUAAAUUGUUUUACUACUUUUUCAUCUUGAUUAUUUUUACAUAUGAAAAAAAAUUAUAUAUAAAAAAAAUUCAAUCAUUUUUUGGAUUUUUUUAAUAUUGUUACAUUUUCCUCUAGAUUAAUUAAUUUUUUUUCAAAUGAUGUCAAAAAUUUUAUUAGGAAAUUUAUUACAUUAUUUAAAAAAAUUAAUUGAUUGAGGGGAAAAAGUAACAAUAAAAAAAAUCCUAAAAAUGAUCGAACUUUUUUUUAUAUGUAAAAAUAAUAAAGAUGAAAAAAUAGUAUUACAGUUUAUAACCCAUAUAAAGUAAUAAAAAAAAAUUUGUCACUUUUUUUAAAAAUUUGAUUGUGACUCCUAAUAUGAAAUGUCUAAGUCCGCCCUGAACACAAUGGUUUGCUUAGGAUCAAUUAGUGAUAUGCUGAGGUCUAUGAAAUGGACUACGGAAAUGGAAACCGGUAAAACUGCAAAUUAUCUUGAAUUAAUAAUAAUAAAAAGCACAAAUUGAACGACUUUUAACAGUAUAAGGUGCAACAUUNNNNNNNNNNNNNNNNNNNNNNNNNNNNNNNNNNNNNNNNNNNNNNNNNNNNNNNNNNNNNNNNNNNNNNNNNNNNNNNNNNNNNNNNNNNNNNNNNNNNNNNNNNNNNNNNNNNNNNNNNNNNNNNNNNNNNNNNNNNNNNNNNNNNNNNNNNNNNNNNNNNNNNNNNNNNNNNNNNNNNNNNNNNNNNNNNNNNNNNNNNNNNNNNNNNNNNNNNNNNNNNNNNNNNNNNNNNNNNNNNNNNNNNNNNNNNNNNNNNNNNNNNNNNNNNNNNNNNNNNNNNNNNNNNNNNNNNNNNNNNNNNNNNNNNNNNNNNNNNNNNNNNNNNNNNNNNNNNNNNNNNNNNNNNNNNNNNNNNNNNNNNNNNNNNNNNNNNNNNNNNNNNNNNNNNNAAAAUAGUGCGAUCCAAUGGCUAAGACAAAUCAGACCAAGUGGUGCACCAGUUCUUGAAAUAUCACACACCUAUUCCAUGAGACACUUUAAUCUCUAUAAAUAGAGACCCCCAAAUUCGUUUUUGAUAUACCAAAUCAAUUACGAAUUCAAUUAAUUUCUAAAUUCUUCUCUCUCCAUAUUCUGCUCUAAAAAAAUUCUCUUAUAUUUCCGUGGUUAUUCCGUUCGAGUACGAUCAUUCAUUGGUUCGACCGACAAGGUUGGUAUUGUGCAGUAUCGACUUUGGAAGGAGCGUUGUAUCUUGGGAGACAGACGUUCAUAAUCCCGUUUGCACUUCAUUGGGGGGCGAAAUCUGUCUUAAGGAGAUUUGCUUAUUUUAUUGGCAUACCUCGCUUCAUUUACUGUUUUCUAUUUUCUGCUUAUUUUAUUUGUUCUUUUGAUUGCGUUAGUCGAAUUUCCGACAACAUACACAACUUCCAUGGCACUGUCGUCUUUACAGAAAUUAGUAGUUCCAGUGACGGCAUAAUUAUCUCUCUUUCAACUUUCAAGCAUCUGACUGUGGAGACCAGUCAUUUCAAGGAAGAAAUAAUUCAACAAUGGUUAUUCUGCUUAAGGCGUCAUUUUUUUUACCCACUAUCAUUUGUAAAAUCAAAAUUAUACUCCUCCAAAUCAAACUGCAUGGUGUGAUUUCAACUCCAAAUAAUUUUCUCCGAAAGUGGCCUCGAUUUUCAAAUCCACUGUUUCACCCUCGAAGCUGGCUGGGGCACGAAUCACGAUCAAACUCAUAUUAAAGCACUGCCGCAGUAAAGCAUGUAUCCUCCUUCUCAGCCAUCCCAAUUCAACCCGUCUUCCCGCUGGGAGUGGGUGUUUAUUGGAAAUUGAAGAGAUUACCCGGCAAAAUUAUCAUUAAUUAACAUUUUUUUGACUGCAAAAAUAAUAAUUAAGUCCCUCUACCUUCUUUAUUACGGGGUCAAAAAAUAAAGUUAUUAUUAUUAUUAUUGAACUUCAUAAUACUAGUAAAAACAAUUCAAUACAUUACCAUAAAUAUUGCACGUGAGAGUACUAAAAUUUUUUCUUGAUUUCUUCUGCUCAAAAUUAACGAUUUCUAUAACAUGAUGAAUGAAAAUGUUAAUUCUUUAUAAGGUAAUUAUAUUCACACUACAAUUUUUAUUUCUUGCACCACAUUUUAUUUUCAUUUAAGGUUGAGAGUGAGGGACAAAUUUUUAAAGAUUGUACUUCAAAAAUUAGAUUUAUGGCUUACUUAUUCAUAAAUCAGGUGAUAAUUCAAUUGUUAAUAUUAAUAAUAAUAUUAUAAAAUUAAUUAAUCCACCCAGAUGUCGCCACCCCACUACACCCCACCUCAACUCCAAUUCACUCUGGACCCAUUUUCAUUCUCUCCUUCCCUCUUUCUCUAUCUUCUCCAUUCUUUCUCUACUAUCUGUUUUUUUGCCCCCUUUUUUUUUUUUUUUUUUUAUCUUUAUUCAUUAGAGUGCUGGAGUAGUAGCUCCCUAAGCGCGACACACAGCAACCCCUCAAAUCGUCGCCUCUCAGGCGACAAUGGCGCUUAGAUUGCGCACAAUGAUUCUUAGAACAUCGGUAAUCUGACCCACGACAUUUAGUUCGUCGUUGUGCGUUGCGAUGGGUUUGCCGCAAGCAUCGCUGCAACGGUGAACCUCAAGUCAUCGAAAGCGCCUAUUCUGUGGUGUUAUACGGUGGUUUGUGGUUAUUUUUGUUGUGAUUUUGCAACGAUUUGUGGUGAUUUUUGAGAUCGUGGUGGUGGCGGCAAUGACGAUGAUCAUAUGUUCAUAGUGUAUAUCAAAUGUUGUGUUGAUAUUUAUUAGUGGUUUCAGUCGUGGUGAUCACAAGUCACAUAUAUUAAGUCACAAAUCAUUGUGUAUAGAUCAUAGAUAAAGUUCCACAUAUCACUGAUCAAAGAGAAUUUAUCACAAAUCAUAUUUGUAUGUCACAGGUCACAAGUAGACCAAAAUUAACUAGUCACAUAUCAUAUGACACAUGUCUUUGUGCACUAAUAACAUGUCAUGGAUUCAAAUUCACAGAUCACAUUUCAUAUGUUAUUGGUGACGAGUAAUAGUUCAUAGGUCACAGCUCGUAUGUUACCUUUAGAUUAAUUAUGAAAUAACCCUACUCUACAAAAAGAAAGAGGAAGAAAAAAUAAAUAACAAUUUUAAGAACACAAAUAAUAAUAAUAAUAAUAAUAAUAAUAAUAAUAAUAAUAAUAAUAAUAAUAAUAAUUAUAAAGUCAAAAUUGGAUGGUCAGCCCGGUCAGCUGGCCCGCAUGACACCACCCUUGUCCCAAUUUUGUAAAACUUAUUUUUAUUUAAAUUUAUUUUCAAUUAUACAUUUUAUGAUACCUUCAACUUUUAUCAAAUUUAUAGUCAUACAUUUCAUAAAAAACUACUUAAAAUUGAUUUUUAGCCAAAUCAAACAUGGACUAAAUUAAAGAGUCAACAACAAAUAAGGAAUUAUUAAAUAAUAUUGAGAUCAUUAUAGUUAAGAUAACUUUUCUCUAAUCUUUUAUAUAGUAAAGAUAUAUUAAAGUUGACAAUACGGUUGAUUUUUUUGAUAAGUAAUCAAAUAUUUUAUUAAUCACUGAUAAUACACAGCGGUGUGUUAUCAAUUAAUACAAGAAAGAAACAAUUUAAAAUUAGGUAACCUGUCUAUACGAGUAAAAGCCAUAUCAUUAAACCAAGUAUAUAAUAUCAUAUAAAAUAAUUCUUUAAUCUGCUCAGUUGUUCGUGUAUGAUCAUCAAAACAACUAUUGUCUCUCUUCCUCCUCACACGCUAAACAAUGCAUCCUGAAAUAAGAUCAUAGACAAGUGUGCUAUCCUAGACAAUACGAUUGAAUUUUAAGAAUAAAUGUUGAUAUUUUAUUCAAUAAUCUCUCGAAUAAUGUUAAAUCUAUUCUCAAAUAUGACACAACUAUAUUUUUAUGACAGAUAGCGAUCAUACAAGAGUGCAUGAAUUUUUAUGAACACUGUAAGAUUCACAUAGAGCAUAGCAGUUAUUUCUAUCCCUUAUCAGACCAUAUGACGAUCUACACUAUGUUGUGCCUAUUUUCCUGUGAAUUAUUCAAAAUCCAAAAACGUGUUUUCAAUGUCAAAUAUGUAAAGCUAGAGAUUAAAAAUUCAUAUUACACGGUUCAUCGUUCUCCUAACACAAAGAAAUUUAGCCUAAUGGUCAUUUGAUUUCCCACAAAUGGAGGGGAUCGUGAAUAAGUAAUAGAAUGGUGAAUUAAGUGUUGAACCCACAAGAACUAUGUGAUUGAUUGAGUUAUAGCUAUUAAUACCCUUAAUCAAAUAGCAAUAAAUAGUUAUAACAUCUUGAAGUCUAAAUUAUCAACUAACUUGAAAGUAAAGCAAAAGUUUAUCAAAUAUGUGAAAGUAUUGCUAAGAUGUAGCAUCUCUCUUGCUAAUCCAAUUUUUUAGUUCAACAAUUUAAAUUGACAAUUUAAAAUCAUGCUUGUUGAUCAAUGUUCCUAUUUUAUUUAAUAGUUUAUCUCGUUAGCAAUUAAAUCUAAUCCUACACGUGACCUUCCUAUAUCUCUAUGAAAGGUACGAACGUGCAAGAAAGCAUUAAAUGAGCUAGAACAUUCAUAAAAUCAUGUGAAGCAUACGAGUAUAUCUCUAUUAUCUAUCGAACCUCGCAAUAUUUAUCACUAUGAGCUAUUGGUUCUAUAUCUCUCUCAAUGAUAAUAAAACCCACAAACAAUUCAACUAUUGACCAAUUAAUUGAAAAGCAAACUAAUCAAUGAUAAACAUCUAAACACUCAAGCAAAUUAACGUCAAUUCAAUUAUUUAAAUCAAAAAAAUUAUAACAAGAGUUCAUCCCAUCCCAACAAUGUAAAAAUCUAGCAAAGCAUAUUGUCGAAAUUAAAUAAAGAAACGAUAAAAAACAUCAACAAAAAUUGGUAGAACGUGAUUAAUUCCUCCCAUUUUUAAUUCCAGUCGCCAAUUCCCUCCUCUGCCUUUUCUUGUGUAUAUUAUUAGGGAAAUGAUAUUUGUAUCCGGGCGUUUACAUGCCCCUCACAUGGGGGACUACGCUGGACCCGUCCCCCAUUUGAGGGGCGUGUAAAUGCAUGGGUACAUGUAGCUCAACCCUUUUAUGUAAUUUCAGCAACAAGUAUCAUUUAUAAAUUGGUUCGGCAACAUUUAUGCGCAGGACUCGUCCCUCAUGUGACGGGCUUGUAAACGUCCGAGUACAUGUAGUUCAACCCUUUUAUGUAAUUUCAGCAGCAAGUAGCCAUGUAUAAAUUCCUCUAGCAGCCGCAAUGCUUGACUCGAAAGUGACUCUAAUUCUUUCUCUGUUUCUGUGUUUGUAUAUAUACUAGUUUCGCACUCGUACAAUGCACAUGCCAUGUCAUUUUUUGAGUAAUAUUACCGUGUCAAAAUAUCUAUUCAUUUCUCUCAGUAAAUCUACAAAUUUGAUUAAUUGUUUAAAAUGAUAAAUGGAAAUGUAAUCUUCAUAUAUGACACACACUCUAUAUCAUCAUAUACUAUUAUUAAUCAAUAAUAUACACGAGUGUACUUGAGAGUUCAAGUUGAAGCCAAAAAAGUUCAUAGUUGUCCAAAAUAAUCGAUACACAUAAAUGGAAAUGUAAUCUUCAUAUAUGACACACACUCUAUAUCAUCAUAUACUAUUAUUAAUCGAUAAUAUACACGAGUGUACUUGAGAGUUCAAGUUGAAGCCAAAAAAGUUCAUAGUUGUCCAAAAUAAUCGAUACACAUAAAUGGAAAUGUAAUCUUCAUAUAUGACACACACUCUAUAUCAUCAUAUACUAUUAUUAAUCGAUAAUAUACACGAGUGUACUUGAGAGUUCAAGUUGAAGCCAAAAAAGUUCAUAGUUGUCCAAAAUAAUCGAUACACAUAAAUGGAAAUGUAAUCUUCAUAUAUGACACACACUCUAUAUCAUCAUAUACUAUUAUUAAUCGAUAAUAUACACGAGUGUACUUGAGAGUUCAAGUUGAAGCCAAAAAAGUUCAUAGUUGUCCAAAAUAAUCGAUACACAUAAGAUAUAUGAAAAAAGAGCUACCGAAACUUAUAUAUAAUAUUUUUUGACACAUUUUUUAUGUGCGUUCAACUAUUUUCGAUAUUUAUUUAAAUCAUUCAAUAUAUCUAUGAUAUAGUUCUCGAAAUGAGGUUCGAUAGAAUAUUGAAAAUUUAUGCAUUUGACUACCGUACAAUCGUCAAUAAAUUAUUAAAGUUAGCUUAUUAUCGAAAUUCUUAAUUUUUUAAAUGAUGUCUCUUUUGACAUUAAAAAUAAAUUUAAAAAAUUAUUAGGAAAUUUUUUAAAUGACGUCAAAAUUUUUAUUAUAUUAUUUGAAAAAUUAAUUGAUCGAGGGGACAAAGUAACAAUAAAAAAAAUUCCUAAAAAUUAUCGAAUUUAUUUUAUAUAUAAAAUUUUUUCAGAUGUUAAAAUAAUUAAGAUGAAAAAUUAGUUGGCCUCAAUUUUGUAUUUUUAUAAUUGAAAUAUAUUUUCUGAAGAUAGGAUAAAUGCUCCCUUGAUGCAUGGAUUAAAAACCAAAUUUGGAGCUCAUAAUUUAUUUAUCAAACAUUAUUUUAGUUUGAUGGUUAUUUUAUAUAUAAAGGACAUAUUUAAUGAUAAUUAUAUUCAAUAUAAUUAAAUCGUAUAAUUAAUCGAAUCUUUUUUUAUUGUUCAAUAGUCAAUCAAUUUAAUGAAAAAAAUUUUAUUUACGUGUAAUAUUAUUUUAUCGAAAAUUCUGCUAUUGAAAAUAAAAGAAAGAAAAAAAAGAUUUAAUGGAGCCAAACACAAGCCGAGUCAUAGUAUAAUAUUUUGUCACUUAAAUGUGGUUGAGAUUUUUAUUUAAUCACCCAAUUUUGAUAUAUUUGAUUUAAUCCUCCAAAAUUUAUAUACAUCUAAAAUAUUCAAUAUCGUCAAAUAAAUUAUUCGACAUCUUUUUGACCGAGUAUUAAAUUUUUUCGACAUUGUGUUAAGUUUUACUUUAAUUUAUCGCAACUGUUUUUAAGAAGUAAAAAAUAUACAUGAUUCAACAUACUCCGUAUCACGUUAUAAGGGCAAAAUAGAUUUGAAUAAAAAAAAUAUAUCAAUCACUAAAAAAAAAAAGAAAAAAAAUUAUGAAAAUGCUUCGUGAUUAAUUUGUUCCUGACACCCGGGAGCAAUUUUCUCCGUGCAUAAUGGAGCAAAUGCUCCGUGACGCAAUUUUUUUUUUUAAAUGAUGCUAAGUGUCAAUUUUAUUUUAUUUUAUUUUUUUUCAUUGGGUGGUUGAUAUCUUUUUUGUGAAUUUUUUUUAUUGCAUUGGGUGAUUUAUUUAGUUUUUUUUUAUAAAAAUAUACCAUAAAUCUUCAUAAAUCUUUUAUAUUCUCUCGAAGUUCAUUUCGAGAACUAUAUCAUAAACACGUCGAAUGAUCUAAAUGAAUAUCGAAAAUAGUUAAACGUAUAUCAAACUUGUGUGUUAAAAAAUGAGUUUUAACUCAUUAUUUUUUCUUUAAAAAAUCAAUUAUUUUAUUAAUGUUUCGCGAUAAUUUUCUCAAUAUAAUUUACAUCAUUUUCUUAAAAAAAAAUUAUGUGUAUGACGUCAAUAUUUUUUUUUAGACAUAAAAAUUCAAAUCAGACAAAACGGGGAAUCAAAUCCUUUAGGUAGCACACUAUUUUUGACUUUUUGUUAUUUUCUCUACAUACAAAAAGGCCAUUAGACCCUUAGUGUGAGAGUUACUAUGUGAGGGAGUUGAGAGUAAAAUGGGAAACACCUAAAUACGUUCUGAAUGAAUAAUAACCGGCUAAUUCGCUAUUUUAAGAUAGUAGUGAGAGUAGUGAUUGAUCAAAAGAGUAGAGAUUUUGUUAAUUAUUUGAGGACAAAAAGGGAAAUGAAAAUACUUCAAAAAUGAAUAGUAAAUGGCAUAUUGAAAAAGAGUAGAGAUUUUGUUAAUUGUUUGAGGACAAAAUGGGAAAUGAAAAUAUUUCAAAAAUGAAUAGUAAAUGGCAUAUUCUGUCUUUUACGAUAGUAGUGACAGUGAUAAUAUAGCCUCAAAUCUUGACUCCUCCAAGCUGGUUAUUUUUUCUUAGCGUGCAUGCAUGUGUGUGUGUGUAUAUAUUUCAAUAGCAGCUGCCCAAUCUUGUUCUCCUUGAAUUCCAAGACGGUAGCCCAUUUUUUCUUCCAAAACAGAAAGUGUUGGCUGCCCUUUUUUAUUCUCCAACAACUGCCUUUGAUUUUUUUCCCAGAAGCUGCCGUUUUCUCCCAAAAAUCAGCUACCUUUUUUUGUGGUUUUUUUUCUCUCCAGCCAAAAGCCGACUUUGUUUCUUCCCGAGAAUUCCAAUUUUAUGUGAAUUUCAGCCCAAGAAAAUUAAUGCUGGGCCCAAUUGGGUUUGUUUUCAACAGGAGUCCAAGUUGAGGCCCAAUUAAAGUAUUAUUUUCUUCGAAGUUUCAUCUUUUCCAAGUAAUGAAAGUUAGUCCUUGUACUUUGAAUUUGCCAUUUUUCGUUAUUGUUUGCUUAUUUCCCUCAAUUCCUUUUCAUUUAUAGAAUUUACCUAUAAAACAAAAAAUACAAUAAUUAAGGAACUAAUUUGUCAAAAAAACUAUCAAAUAUUGUUAUUUUAGGAUUCCGAAUAAGCGUAUAGAAUACACUUAUCACCUAACAUAUUAUGAAGAUGAAAACAAGAAUCAUAUAUAGUAGACAUCACCCAAAUAAUGAAUUUUGAUUGGAUUUUGAUGUCGUGGAAUCUCUCUUGAUGUUUCUUGCCGUCUUUUAUGCUCUCUAAUGCAUAGUAAACUACUUCUCAACUAUCAUAAGUUUUUAAAAGAUGUCUCGAAUAUUGUUUUCAUAAGAGAUGAAGUCGUGCAAAAAAACCAGAAAUUUUCCUCCAAAAAUGUACUAUGCUAUGACAUAAUUCAAUCGCAUGGUAUAGCAUAGUUCAACAAACUUCAGCCUUGAAAAUUCGUGUUGCCCACCAUGCGACCGCAUGUAUAAAUGUAUUAUGCUAUAGUAUGGUUACUAUAGUAUACGCAAAGAUCUAAUUUUUACAUUUUAGUCCCUGAACUUCAUUUUUUUCAUUUCUUGAUCUCUUUUCUCACCUCUUCUUUUUCCAAUACUUCAUUGCUUUGCUCAAUUGGUCUUCAACUCUUUCACAUAUUCAUUUCUUCUUUCGAAACAUCUUUUGACUAUUUGAACUUUGGUCCCUAAACUUUGAUUUUCUUCCAUUUUAGUUCUUUUCAUUUGGUUCUUCUAAAUUCUACCAUAUUCAUCAUUUAUAUAAUAUUUUAAGCCCUAUUUCAAUAUAUUUACUCACAAUUAUUCAUAACUUAAAUAAGUGUAUAAAAUGCACUUAUCAUGUUAUAAAAGUAACCACCUUAAUUAAGGUCUAGUAUUAUCGUACCAAGUGCUAGAGUGGAGUCUAGUAUUAACUAGUAGUCGUUUAUUUGCACAAAGUUUAAUAUAUUGAUUGAAUAAUGUUAUAUACUUCUUCAUCGGGCAAUUAUAAAGUUAUUGUAGCUUUUAAUUAUCUUAAUAAAUAUUAUCUGUUAACCAGCACAGUGACUUUGACUUUAAAUAUAACUAUCUAAUUUUGUACCAUAGUUCAAAAGUUCUUUAAUUUUCCCCGAUAAAUCCGCCAGGUUAUAAGAGCCAUGUCAAAAUCAAAAAUCAAAAAUCAAUUGCAUCAGACGAAAUUUUUGGCUUAAGUAUGUCUUCCAGGAGACUAAACGGCAAUGAUUUUGACAAAUACUAAAAACAUGGAACAUAAUUUGCAGCUAUAAAAUUCAUAGGAGUCUCAUACGAAGAGGAGCAAAGAAAAAAUCAAUGGAUUUUCUAACAUCUUUCCUUGUAGUAUUAUCUUUUGUAGUGUGGCAUUUCUUGAGAUCAAAUCUAAGGCUCCGGAGAUCAGGCAAGUUACCCCCGGGGCCUUACCCUUUUCCGAUAAUCAGUAACAUUCUACAACUUGGCAAAAAUCCCCACCAAUCGCUAACCAAACUCUCCAAAAUUUAUGGUCCUCUCAUGUAUCUAAAGCUGGGGAGCAGAAAUACAAUCGUCGUCUCGUCACCAGAUAUUGCCAAACAAGUACUACAAAAACAUGACCAAGUCCUUUCUUCUCGAACAAGUCCAGCCGCAGCAGCAGCAUAUGAUCAUUUCAAGAAGUCUCUGGUCUGGUUGCCUGUGGGUAGCCAGUGGCGAAAUCUUCGUAAAAUUUGUAAAGAGCAAAUGUUUUCGUCACAUAGGCUUGAUGCAAGUCAGGGUCUUCGGCAAGAAAAAUUGAAGAAACUGUGCAACUAUGUGCAUGACUGCUGAAUUAGUGAUCAAGUAGUUGAUAUUGGUGGUGCCGCGUUUAUCACUUCGCUUAAUCUCAUGUCAGCCACUCUUUUCUCAGUUGAUUUUGCUCAGUUUAAUUCCAGUUCUUCUCAAGAAACGAAAGAACUUGUACGGGGUUUGAUGGAAGUUGGAGCGGUUCCUAAUCUUGCAGACUUCUUCCCAGUUCUCAAAUUCAUUGAUCCACAAGGUAUUCUCAUUAGUGAUCAAGUAGUUGAUAUUGGUGGUGCCGCGUUUAUCACUUCGCUUAAUCUCAUGUCAGCCACUCUUUUCUCAGUUGAUUUUGCUCAGUUUAAUUCCAGUUCUUCUCAAGAAACGAAAGAACUUGCACGGGGUUUGAUGGAAGUUGGAGCGGUUCCUAAUCUUGCAGACUUCUUCCCAGUUCUCAAAUUCAUUGAUCCACAAGGUAUUCUGCGCGAAUGCAAGAGUUACAUUAGCAAAGUAUUUGUAAUAUUUGAUGAUUUGAUCAAUCAACGGCUGAAGUUGAGAAACGAGUCACCAGAUCAUCCGGCGAGAAACGAUUUACUUGAAGCCAUCCUGAAUUACAGCCAAACAAACGAUUCCGAAUUAACCUUUGAUGUUCUGAAACAUUUACUUUUGGUGAGUAAAAAGAACUUAUAGUCAACCUCUUCUGUUUUUCAAAAUGGUAAAGGUCUACGGAAAAGAAUAGUGAACUCUUAUUGAAUGGUUAGCCAUUAUUGAUCACUAAUUUCUUGCAAAUACUAGGAUUUAUUCAUUGGAGGAACAGACACUACUGCGAGCACUGUGGAAUGGAUAAUGACUGAAUUAAUACGCAAUCCUGAGAAAAUGUCUAAAGCUAGAAAUGAGCUUUGGACCAUCGUUGGACGAAACAAAGAAGUAGAAGAAUCGGACAUCCCAAGACUCCCAUAUUUGCAAUCAGUGGUCAAAGAAACCUUUAGGUAUCAUCCUCCUGCCCCCUUUUUAGUACCCCGCAAGGCAGAAGUUGAUACAGAAAUCAAUGGCUAUACAAUCCCUAAAGAUGCACAAAUACUUGUUAACGUAUGGGCAACUGGUAGAGAUUCAAGCCUUUGGUUAAAU
RNAcentral lists this long non-coding RNA (12797 nucleotides) under Olea europaea (common olive). RNAcentral's name for it is "long non-coding RNA (OEUR_LNC004597)". The record is from RNAcentral. Lineage: Eukaryota; Viridiplantae; Streptophyta; Magnoliopsida; Lamiales; Oleaceae.